Molecule: long non-coding RNA, 7208 nt
Organism: Taeniopygia guttata (zebra finch)
Lineage: Eukaryota; Metazoa; Chordata; Aves; Passeriformes; Estrildidae
Source: Ensembl
GUGACUGUUUUCUUACAGCUUUCUCCACAUUUUGGCACUAAUGUAUAUAAAGAAACUUUAAUAGGAGGUUAAAUCAUAAAUACAUGAGAUAAAAAUUUUAAUUUGCAUACUAAUUUUACAUUUUAGGAUUCUGACUGGGAAGAUUUUUAACAUAUGCUUGCACAGUGGUCAGAGCGUAAGGAAGUUUAGCACAUUUCUGUUUACCAUUGAUAUUCUGCAUGCCGUGGGAGCAGUAAGUCAGGACUAUUGGCAUGCAUAUGAAAGCUUAUUCACCAAAGGAUAUGCUUUUGAUGUAUUAGCUAGCUAAAAAUGCAGAGAGGAAUUUGGCAGAAUUCUUCAAAGGAACACAAAUAAAAAUGCAGAGAGGAAUUUGGCAGAAUUCUUCAAAGGAAUACUUUUUUUUUAUUAUUUAACUUUUUUUCCAAAGAACAUCAACAAUUCAUUGGAAUCUUUGAAUUAUAAAAUUUAAAUUUCUCCACAGCAAGUCCAGCAUUGGUUCUCAGUAUCUGAAAAUGCCGCUGUUUGCUGUGGUGUAGGCUUUAAUUCAGCUUGUAGGUACUUAAAUCUCCCCUGCUGAUUUGAACAGCAGGUUUGGAAACACAUUUCUCUGAGAAUUUUUAGAGUGUGUAGAUUACAGAUAGUGGCAUACCUAGCUAAAGAGAUAAAGAAAUCAUAUAUCAUACUGAAGUACAUCCCUGGUGUUCUUUGAGAGCAACCGGAGUGCUUUGUGACUGAGUUUAUUUAGUAUUGGGACUCACAAGUAUAAACAGACGAGGAAGAACACUACAGUAAGUUAAACCAGACAAUGCAUCAUCAAACUCAACUUGUUUAAACAAUUACACAGUAAAAAUGGGAAUCCAGCAAGUAGGGCACAUAGAAUUUGAUUUUCUAAGGAGAAAAGAUUGAAAGUCACAGUUCAGUCAAAUGACACACAAAGAUUCAGUUGCAGAUAGCUCUGUGAGGACUGUAGAAGGAUGCAUAACCAACCAACCAGAAAACCAGCAGGUAUCAAACUCAUAAGUAAACCACAUAGUGAACAGCAUUAGAGAUAUUAGCCAGUCUAGUGGCAGUGGUCACAAGGCAAACCAUUUAAAGUAACCAUGAGAAAUUCAAUGUUGCUUUUCAGUGACUCUUCUGGAAAUGCUGAGUAGCCAGAAUUAAAGAAAUUACAUAGGAAGGAAUGAUACAAUGCUGACUUUAAAGAUUUUCUUUGUGUAUUUUCUUUUCUUCAUUAGCUAGAAACAAAAAUUAGGGAAAUAAAAUGUCUCUUACUGUGCUGUUCACCUGCUACCUAUUGAUGUUGCUUUCCUGCCGUCUUCUCCAUCUGCUUUAAAUUAAUUUCUGAAAUGUGCCCUCCUUAAAAUAAAUUCUUAUUAGUCUCAUAAGGAAAAAAAAAUAGCAAACAAAAAGACUUUUAGUUGAAUUGCAAACAAUUAGAACGCAAUUAGAAUGGGGAGAGGAGCAAGGAAAGAAAAACACAAUACCAAUUAUGAAUAAUCUAAGAAGGUAAUAAAAUCUGUCAGAUCCUGGGAUUUAUAUAAAAUUAUUAAUUUGCUUUUUCCAGGGAAAACUGAUUUUUUAAUUAACUAAACUUUUCAUUAGUGGUGGCAUUAGGAUUUUACUUGGUAUAAUUGAAAUGCUGUCUUAGGAUACUAAAUAGUAGUCGAAAAAUGUGAAAGUAUAUUAGUCAUGAAGACAUAAGAAAUGGCCUAAUUCAGCAAUACCCUCCCUUUUAUUCACCCACUUUGCAUUUCACCUGUUUGGUUUCUGUAGGAAGAUGAGAUCUAUCCAUGUCUGCAUAUAGAAUUCUCAUCUCUAACUCUUCAUACUGUUUAUACAUACACAUUCCUUUAGCAGAAAGGUAAUUUUCUUCCUAUUUCAAGCUUAUUGAGCCUUAGUAUAUAUAUUUUUAAUCCAAUUCCUCACUUUUUUUGCUAAGGAAUUUCUUCCGCUCACAUUUGUUUCAGUGACUAGACAUCAUGCAUUUCUUCUCUGUGACUUUUGGUCAUAAUCUCUAUUGCUGGAGAUAUACGGUGUUUCUGGGUUAUAUAGGUUUCUUUUAUUUAAAAAAUUCCAUUAAAAUUACUGAAAUUAGUGUAUUUUUGGAGGGUGAGUGUUGCAUAUAAGUUAAGACAGCUUAUCAGAAACUUAACAACAGUUUUGGUCCUGCUUUUGUAGCAGUACAGUGCAGCUAAAGUGGAAGUGAAUGUAAAAAGGACAGUUGUAAUUGAAGCAUAGAUUGCAUACACUAUGAAAUUAUUCUAUUAAGAACUGCAACCUUUGUUGCUGUAAUAUGUUGUAGUAGCAUAGCUUUGAAAUUAAGCAUGAUGAAAUUUAUAUACUAUGUUAACCUUGCAUAAAGGUUAGGAAGGAAAAAAUUUCCAUGUAAAAUGUGUUAAUUUUAUUUUUGGUGUUCUGUCUGAGGCUGCAGAAACAGGCCUUAGCCCAAGUAAGAGGGAGAGCAGGAGGUUUUUGCCAAGCUCCAAAUACACCUGCAGGUUGAGCGACUGCUGUGAGGUCUUUUCAUUAGCUAAUGGGGUGACAUUCAUCACUUUUGGCUGCCUUAUUCACUAUGUUUAAAUAGGGUAGGCUAUUCUUUCUCCAUACAUUUCUUGUCAUCUCCACUUGCUCUUUUCUGUAGUGUCUCACAUAAUUGGCCUACAAAGCCAAUUAUUGUUUUCUUAUAUUUGUGUGUAAUUAGAGAUAAAUUAGAUUUGGCUGUUGUACAGGCUAGAGUAGUGCUCUACUUUCUGGGCAAGUGACUACCAACAAAUGAAUUUAUAAAGGUCCACUAGAUUUGUGGGGAAGAGUCUUUCAGGUUGCAGGAAAAUGUUAUUUCUUUCCUUGACUUUCUGUUUCUGCAGAACUAAGGAAAUAACAAGGAGGCCAAGAAUAUUUUGACAUUCUAACAUUCACUUUUAUUAAUCAUAUGAAAACAUAUUCUGUGAUAUUCUAUAAUUUUGGGGAGUAAUUGCUGUCAGAUAAGAAGGAACACUGAAAAAAUUACAAAUGAAAACUCUGGUUUCUCUGCUACAUCUACUGUAAAUUUAGAAGACUGAAGAAAACGUUAUCAGUCAUCAGUGCACCAUGCUCCAGAAUGCUCUGUGUACAUAUUCAGUCUUUCAAGAGAGAUUUGGGUCUUCUAAGAGUCUACUGACAGCACUGUUCUGCAAUUUAAGCAAUUGAGUACACUAAAGGAAGCCAACCAUUUUCAGUAUUAAACAGAAACUUCUACAGGGUAAGAAGUGAGUUUGUAAAUGUCUUAAGAUUCAGUGCUGGCAAAUAUGAACAAGCAUUAGUUUGUGCCCAGAUUAUGACCUCAAGAUGAGACGACCUGUCAGUCUGAUGAAAUGUUCUGAUUUGAAUGUAAAAGUCAUGGUUUGCAAUGCAACUUCGGCCUGGGAAGUCCAUGUUUGAAACAGUGAUUCUUACAUGACUGCAAGGGAAAAAGCAGAUUACUCAAAAUUUUCCCUCUUUGUUUUAUCUCAUACUACAUAUUCUAGUAAAAUAGAAGACUUAACUUGCUGGUCAUUGGCUACCUUGAUUAAUAGGUAGAGCAUUAAAUGUCAUGGGGAGCCUAAGUUUGAUCCCUUGAGUGCAGAAGAGAAGGCAAUAAUCACAGUCCUGACUGUUGGCAAUAAUCACACUCCUAACUGGCAGCCCAGGAGGUGUUGGCUGUCUCUGCUACAAAGGUACGCUCUUUAUUUUUAUUCAGCUUCUUGCUCCCCACAGGUUUAGGUGUUAUUUUGUCUCCAGUGUAGCACUCUGAAUUUUUCUUUGUUGAACUAUAUGGUUAUCUGUUUUUUCAAAAAGGAAUUUGUUUGAAUUUUUAAGAGUUUAAAAUGCUUUAAUUUUUAUGCAAGUAAUUCUGAAUUAUAGACCUGCCUCAUGUUCUUUUCAGUCCCUGUAGCAAGUAUUUCCUUAUUUGUAAAAACACAUGCUUAUAGAUGUAACAAUUUUUAAUAAAAGAUUUAGAGUUUUUAGGGGGGUUGAAAUUUCUUAUGUCUCUCAACACUGUAUGAUGUUGAUUCAGUAUUCAAACUGUUAGAGAAAAAUGAUUCAAUAUACCUAAUAAGUGGAUUUUAAUGGUUUCUAAAGGGAAGGAAAUGAUUUAGCUCUUUUUCACUUAACAAUCUAAGGACAUAUGUAAAUGACACAUGGGAGUAAAAUCUAGGCUACAUAAUUGCCCUGUGUAAUUUCUAAUUCAAGUCCAGUUUAAGCAAGACAGAACAGAGUCACCAAAUCAAAUACUACUGAGUCUUAAAGGGCAAGAUAAAUUACAUGAAAUUUGCACAGUCUGUACAACGAAUGGAAAGUAUGUUCAGCUAGAAUUUUCCUCUCUAUGCUUGAUGGUAGUUGUGUAAGUUGCUGGGAGUCAAUGUGGCUCCAAACAUAAUCAUGGGUAGGAACAGGAAUCUCCAGAGAUGCCUGAGAAAGGUCAGACCAAUUGUUUUCCAGGCAUGCCUAUCUCUGUAUUGACUAUAACAGAGCCUAAGGUUACCUGCUGAAGAUUACCUGCUGAAAUUAAAUGAGUCUCUCACACAAACAUUUGAAAACACCUGGUAAUCAAUUUUAAAUACUCACACACUAAAAAAAAGGAAGUGUAUUUUUCAUCCAGAUUGCUGUUGCUUUACACUUUCAGUGUUUAAUUUAUGAAAUUCUCAAAAUUAGGGCACUUUUCAUCUAAGAAGUGCCCCACCACAAAGCUCUGCUUAUUAUAUAAUUAACUAUGGGCCCUCUCUUUGAAACAUUAAUAAUAAAAUCAGAUAGUAGUGCCAGUGUAUUUUUAAAUAACUAUUUAGGAUUCUUUCUAAGGUGACAGCAACAGUAUUUAGAACAGAAAAUUCAGAAAAAUUCAUUCAGAUUUAUAUGUUCUUUGAUUAAUUCUUAGAUAUAUCACUAUUCUGUAUAUACAUAUUUGUACCUAAGCCUAACAGCAUAUACUAAUACUCUGCCUGAUUCAAGAGUAUAUUGAUACAUUUAUAUUGAUACAUUUAUUUAUCUUAUAAAUAAAUUAUUUCCCUUUAUUAAAAAAUUAUCUUGCUGCUUGAGUUUCAUUCACACAGAAGCAUUCAUAGAACUCUUCAUUUUCUGUUGUUUGUAGUCUUAUAACACCUCUUUAACGAAUAAAGCAGUUCAUUAUAUAGGUUCAAAGAGAUGGUAAUGUUUUUGAUUUUAAAUUAUGGCAGCAAAAGCAAGAAGGCUUUUUAUUUAUUUCUUUUUAUUAAAAGAAGUUCAUUUUCAAAGAAUGUACAUACAUGUUUUAAUAUUUGAUACUGUCAAAGUCUUAGUGCUAGAUGCUGCACGGGUCUUAAAACUUGCUAGUUGUGGACUAAGACUAUGUCUUGACAUGAAAGCUGUAAAUGCCUGUUAAUUGCAAUGGUGUGUAAACUACUGCAAUUUCAUUAUGCUAAGAGAAAAAAUAUUGAUACAUCUGAGUAAGGAUCCUGAAGAUUUUGGGCAAUUAUGUCAGUACUGUGGAUUAAAAAAAUAUUAACGGAAAUGUACUUAUGUAGAAAUUAUCUUAAAAAAAUAUUUCAGAUAUUUUUACAAACCUAAAAACUUUGGCCAUGGGCUACUUGUAUGAUCAUUAAAAUACAGAGCCAACUUUAGACACAUGCAUAUUUAUAUUCCCAAGCACCGUGUAGUAAAGAAAAUGAAGUAUGAUAUCUUCCAAUGAAAUCAGAUUAGUAAUUUCAGGCAUGCAUGAUUUGUCACUGCCAAAUAUUUAUAAGACAUUUAUAUCUCUAGAACUCUGAUACUGCUUGAAAACAAUAAGAAAAAAAUUAAGAAAUUUGGAACUGGAUUGCAGUUCCAUGUGAAAGUGGGAAAUUGCUAAAUUCCUUUCUGGAGGUUGAAAUAAUCAUAAAAAAGAAAUAAUAAAACUACAGCUUGAAAUUGGCCUGCUAGAUCACGUCCGAGUCCUAGCUCUAAUCUGAUAUUCAAUAUAUGACAAUGAGCAGAUAUAAAAUCUUGAUGUAGAUAUUUGUUUCUAGUUAAUUUCUGAACCUUUUUAGUCUUGUAUUACAACAAAUUGAAUCUGAAGUCUCUCUUUUGUUUCAAAUUUUCGCACCGAAUCAUUCAGGAAAUUGGACCUAAGUGUCUCAGUAACUUUUUGUCUGUUGUACUGCUGAAUUUAAUCAUAACUGUAUUGCAUGCAGUCAUUGGCACAACCAAUGUACAAGCUUCACUAUGGACCACAUAAGGGAUUUCUCCUGUGGAUACUAUCACUGGAUCUUAAGCAGCCCUGCAGAUUAGAUUUGACUUCAUUUUUAAAUACUAGUCUAAUUAUCCCUACAGAGUAAAUUGCAUGGUAUUUCGUUUGACUACUUUGAAAGCCUAAGAUCUGAGAUUGCUUUGCAGCAAUUUAAAAUUUGCAUUUCCAGGGAGUUAUUGAAACCAUAUGUUUAACCACUAAAUUGCUUUUAUAUCUCAACUUUUCUCCUAGAUAGGAAUAUCCCUUAUGAGUAUAUUGAGACAAAUGGUAAUUAUUGUUAUACAGAAGAUAGAUGAAAUUAAUAUUAAAGCCAGAGAAAUAUCUCAAUUUUAGUCAGUGAAUUUUCCAGGUCUGUGUAAAAAUAACUCAUUUGGUGUUUUCACAGUAAGGAUUUCUGAACCCAAAUAUAUACAACAUGACAUACAAUGUUUGGUAAGAUGAAACUAAAGCAACAGUAGAAGAUGACUGAUCUCUGUUAAAGAGGGAAGCAUACAAGUGUUCCCCUAUAAUGAUGUUGGUAAUUCUUUUGGCUGUUGAGCAAGUAAUCCAUGACAUCAAGGAUGUAACUAUCCGAGCUUUUGUCAACAUCAGCAUUGUUAACAUUAACAGAACUAUGCUUGUAAAACAAAGAUAAGAAGCAUGACUAAAGGGAAUCUCCUGUCUCAUAUGAAGUUUUAAGUGUUGGGGAGUAUUUGGGGGCUAUUACUUACUGACCCUGGAAUCAACUAGUAGAAACACAAUGGAAUUUUUUCUUUUGAAGUACACUAUGGAUAAAUGGCAGCUGUUUUCCUCAAGGCUCUCAUUCUUCUAAUCUAUCCUUAAGAGGAAAUCAAUAGUUUCUCUCAGAGGCUUUCAAGGCUGUCUCCCAUGUCAGGCGGAAAGCAAAAAGAAGAAACAACUUGUUUCAAGAACCAGAGAUGUUGAGAAACUUCAACAGCCUGCAGACCUAUCAUCUUUCUUAUUAGAUUUGCUGUUUUCAAAGAAAAAAAAA